Molecule: ribosomal RNA, 527 nt
Filed under: uncultured bacterium
Lineage: Bacteria
Description: bacterial SSU rRNA
Rfam family: Bacterial small subunit ribosomal RNA
Source: RNAcentral
AGAGUUUGAUCCUGGCUCAGAUUGAAUGCUGGCGGCAUGCCUUACACAUGCAAGUCGAACGGUAACAGGUCUUCGGACGCUGACGAGUGGCGAACGGGUGAGUAAUACAUCGGAACGUGCCCGAUCGUGGGGGAUAACGAAGCGAAAGCUUUGCUAAUACCGCAUACGAUCUACGGAUGAAAGCAGGGGACCGCAAGGCCUUGCGCGAACGGAGCGGCCGAUGGGCAGGAUUAGGGUAGUUGGUGGGAUUAAAAGGCGUUAACCAAGCCGACGAUCUGUAGCUGGUCUGAGAGGACGACCAGCCACACUGGGACUGAGACACGGCCCAGACUCCUACGGGAGGCAGCAGUGGGGAAUUUAGGACAAUGGGCGCAAGCCUGAUCCAGCCAUGCCGCGUGCAGGAUGAAGGCCUUCGGGUUGUAAACUGCUUUUGUACGGAACGAAAAGACUCUGGUUAAUACCUGGGGUCCAUGACGGUACCGUAAGAAUAAGCACCGGCUAACUACGUGCCAGCAGCCGCGGUAAUA